AUAGUUUCAUUUAUUUUGAAUAGGUAUCUAGAAGGAGAUUUCUUUUUAUUUUUUUUUUAACUGGUUUCAUUCACUUUAUUAUUCCCUUUAUAAAAUUAUGUGGUGGCUACAGCUGGGGCCUGUGUCCUCUGCACGGAGACUCUGGUGUGGGUCUUCACAAGAUGGUCAGUGAAUUCCUGAUAUGGAGACUUGGUGAACACUGUCUCUUUCCAGAGGUCAGGGGUGAGGUAACUAUAGGUCUUGGAAAUGGCAUCAAAAGUGGCCUUGGCAAAGUUGCCCAGGGUGGCAGUGCCUCUGGGGGCAGGGAUGAGGCGCACCAGCACAGAACCGCAGCGGCCAGUCACCUUGCAAGGAACCGUGUGGGGCUUGCCGAUCUUGUUCCCCCAGUAGCCUCUUCGCACAGGGAUGAUGGACAACUUAGCCAGGAUGAUGGCCCCACGGAUGGCAGUGGCUACUUCCUUAGAAAGGAGAUUUCUUGAACACAUGGUACUUCUAUGUUUGAUUUUUGGAGGAAAUUUUAUAUUCUUUUCCAUGGU
RNAcentral lists this long non-coding RNA (536 nucleotides) under Bos indicus x Bos taurus (hybrid cattle). RNAcentral's name for it is "lncRNA (ENSBIXG00000011073.1)". The record is from RNAcentral. Lineage: Eukaryota; Metazoa; Chordata; Mammalia; Artiodactyla; Bovidae.